Molecule: long non-coding RNA, 1202 nt
Organism: Spinacia oleracea (spinach)
Lineage: Eukaryota; Viridiplantae; Streptophyta; Magnoliopsida; Caryophyllales; Amaranthaceae
Exons: 4
Source: RefSeq, a predicted model, not a curated record
GACUGGAAAAGUGGACUAAAACAUCAGUGCUGGAAAAUUCCAACGCUGGCAUUCCAAGCGUCACUAUUUUCCAGCGCUCAAACCUUGUGCGCUGUCAUAUUCCAGCGCUUGAGUUUGUGUCUUACAACAUCGCGCAAAAGAUAUAAUUGAUCCAGCUGUCACGGGAAUAAAUUCUGGCGCUCAAAAUGCAAGCGCUAUAAGUUACCAGCGCUCCUGAUCCAAGCGCUAGAAUUUUCUAGCGCUGCACAGAUCUCUGUUGGAAAAUUCCCAUUUCAAAGAUGUAUCUUGUUCUGGCCUAAGCUUGUGUGAUUAAUGCCUGGCCUAAUCUUGUAACAAAACACUUUGUAUAGUUGCAGUUUAUCAUAUAGUAGUUUCUUUUUUUGAAGUACAUUACUGUAUUUUUCAUGAAUUUGAUGUAAUCAUACGCGUCUUAAACAUUUAGAGGCCCAAUCACCCGAAUCUAAUUUUUGACAGGCUAAACACUUCUCAUUUAUUACCUGUGUUGAGAGCCAACUUUCUGAAGGCAAGUAUGUAUACUCAGUGGAAAACUUGUUUCAAGGAGUUGGGUUUGAAUCCAAAAUCUGUUACUAGUUACAAAGGUGAAUAUAGAAAAAAGCUUCAGCUUAAAUAUGCAGCAAAGGUUUUUUUAAAGAUGGAAAAUCAUGUUUCUUUUCUCUCUAAUACUACUCAAUUUUUCUGUGGCGUCAUCUAGCAAACCUGUGAAUUUUUGCAUCCAGGAGCAAAUGAAUUGUUUCUCCACACAUAUACACACAGGAAGGGAAGAAAAUUGUCUUGUGAGGCCUCAACUGAUUUGGUUGUUGCAGGAACCAUUGCACAUUGUACUGGAGUCUAUCUCUAAAGAAGUUGGUCACACUGGUUGUAUGUGAAGUUUCACUGAAAAUUCUCCAGAUUGGCAGAGCAGAUUAUUCACCGGCACUGAAAAUUGAAGAGGAUCAAAAAUUUAUGUUCUGAGUACAUUAAGAAUACAUUGACGACCAAUUAAGUUUUAUGUACUCCCACUAAACUUCUUAUAUUUCUAUAAGAAUCAUGUACAUUUUAUGAAACUAAAAUACUUAUUAGCUUCACUAAAAUACACAUCCAAUUCCCAAUUGCUUGCUUAAAUCUGUACUUAGAUUUCAUAAGCUAGCUUUCCUUUUCAAGUAUUUAUUUGGAUCCACAAAUCCUAUGACAUACCAUGUACA